GGGGCAUUCGGCGGCUAUACAUGCAGUCGACGGGAUCCGGUGGAGAGCUUGCUCGAAGCUGGUGAGAGUGGCGCACGGGUGCGUAACGCGUGAGCAACCUACCCUUGUCAGGGGGAUAGCCCGGCGAAAGUCGGAUUAACACCGCAUGACAUUGCGAUGUGGCAUCACAUUGCAAUCAAAUAUUUAUAGGACAAGGAUGGGCUCGCGUGACAUUAGCUAGUUGGUAAGGUAACGGCUUACCUAGGCUACGAUGUCUAGGGGCUCUGAGAGGAGAAUCCCCCACACUGGUACUGAGACACGGACCAGACUCCUACGGGAGGCAGCAGUAAGGAAUAUUGGUCAAUGGACGCAAGUCUGAACCAGCCAUGCCGCGUGCAGGGAGACUGCCCUAUGGGUUGUAAACUGCUUUUGUACGGGAACAAACCCCUCUACGUGUAGAGGGCUGAGUGUACCGUAAGAAUAAGGAUCGGCUAACUCCGUGCCAGCAGCCGCGGUAA
This 497-nucleotide ribosomal RNA is filed under the name uncultured Sphingobacterium sp. Its description in RNAcentral is "bacterial SSU rRNA". It matches the Rfam family "Bacterial small subunit ribosomal RNA", at positions 35 to 523 of the family's 1533-position model. Lineage: Bacteria; Pseudomonadati; Bacteroidota; Sphingobacteriia; Sphingobacteriales; Sphingobacteriaceae. The record is from RNAcentral.